Molecule: ribosomal RNA, 255 nt
Filed under: uncultured bacterium
Lineage: Bacteria
Description: partial 16S ribosomal RNA
Rfam family: Bacterial small subunit ribosomal RNA
Source: RNAcentral
UACGGAGGGUGCGAGCGUUGUCCGGAAUCACUGGGCGUAAAGGGCGCGUAGGCGGCUCAUGAAGGCUGUGGUGAAAGUCCGGGGCUCAACCUCGGAUCGGCCGUGGCGACUCGUGGGCUGGAGCACUGUAGAGGCGGGUGGAAUUCCGGGUGUAGCGGUGGAAUGCGUAGAGAUCCGGAAGAACACCAGUGGCGAAGGCGGCCCGCUGGGCAGUGGGCUGACGCUGAAGCGCGACAGCGUGGGGGAGCAAACGAG